AGAGCGAACGCUGGCGGAAUGCUUAACACAUGCAAGUCGCACGGGCAGCAAUGUCAGUGGCGGACGGGUGAGUAUCGCGUAGGAAUAUGUCCGGAGGUGGGGGACAACCCUGGGAAACUGGGGCUAAUACCGCAUAUGAGCUGAGGCUCAAAGCAGUGAUGCGCCUUUGGAGUAGCCUGCGUCCAAUUAGCUUGUUGGUGGGUAAAGGCCUACCAAGGCGACGAUCGGUAGCUGGUCUGAGAGGACGACCAGCCACACUGGGACUGAGACACGGCCCAGACUCCUACGGAGCAGCAGUGGGGAAUAUUGGACAAUGGGCGCAAGCCUGAUCCAGCAAUUCCGCGUGGGUGAAGAAGGUCUUCGGAUUGUAAAGCCCUUUCGACGGGACGAUGAUGACGUACCCGUAGAAGAAGCCCGCUAACUUCGUGCCAGCAGCCGC
RNAcentral lists this ribosomal RNA (439 nucleotides) under uncultured soil bacterium. RNAcentral describes it as "bacterial SSU rRNA". It matches the Rfam family "Bacterial small subunit ribosomal RNA", at positions 26 to 518 of the family's 1533-position model. The record is from RNAcentral.